ACCUGGGUGGCUCAGUCGGUUGAGCAUCCGACUUUGGCUCAGGUCAUGAUCUCGCGCUUUGUGGGUUCGAGCCCCACGUCAGGCU
Felis catus (domestic cat) is the source of this 85-nucleotide transfer RNA. It matches the Rfam family "tRNA". From Rfam's summary of the family: Transfer RNA (tRNA) molecules are approximately 80 nucleotides in length. Their secondary structure includes four short double-helical elements and three loops (D, anti-codon, and T loops). Further hydrogen bonds mediate the characteristic L-shaped molecular structure. tRNAs have two regions of fundamental functional importance: the anti-codon, which is responsible for specific mRNA codon recognition, and the 3' end, to which the tRNAs corresponding amino acid is attached (by aminoacyl-tRNA synthetases). tRNAs cope with the degeneracy of the genetic code in two manners: having more than one tRNA (with a specific anti-codon) for a particular amino acid; and 'wobble' base-pairing, i.e. permitting non-standard base-pairing at the 3rd anti-codon position. Lineage: Eukaryota; Metazoa; Chordata; Mammalia; Carnivora; Felidae. The record is from Rfam.